Molecule: long non-coding RNA, 2051 nt
Filed under: Homo sapiens (human)
Lineage: Eukaryota; Metazoa; Chordata; Mammalia; Primates; Hominidae
Description: PREDICTED lncRNA (TCONS_00249494)
Source: RNAcentral
CUUGCAGGUCCUUGGCGCGGCCCGGCGGCCCCUGGAUCAAGGCGAUCCGAACUGAACAAAGCGGGCUAGACGCCACCUUUCCGCCCCCACGCCUUGGCUAAGUGGGGGACCGCGAGGGGAAGGCGCCUCCAGCCCUGGCCCCUGACCGCUGGCCGGCGUGAAAGACAUCGCCUUCUUACAAUGCAGAACAGACGAUGCACUGUCUCAGGUCACGCUUAGCCUCCUACGGGGGCACGACAGAAGAAGAGGAACAUUUAGAGAGGCACAGCUCCUACAUCCUUGGAUGGGGAGAGUGGGGAGCAAACAGGCCAGUUCACACUUCUUUCCUCUGUGAAGCCUUCCUUCUCCCAGCAUUCCCUCCCCUCACCCUACUGUGUUGUGGCCACCACUCUGCCUGGGACUACAGCCAUUUGUCCUUCUGCCUCUCCUCUGCCUGAGAGCAAGGAGCCUACUGUGAUCAGAGCUGGGGGAGCCAGUGUGAGCAGCAGGUGCAAUGAAAGGAUGUGGGAGUUUGAGACCCAUCUCUGCUGUGUGGCCCUGGCCAUGUGCAGUGGGUAAGUACAUCAGCAAGCAAACUGGCCUCAAGAAUCCCGCCCUAUCCUGGGCAUCUGGGGUUGAGGCUGGCUGUGCCAACCUUUGCACAGGGUUUCAAUCUGACCUCACUCAGAAAACGGAGCCACUUGCUUAGAGUCCCUCUCUCUGAACACGCUCUCCCCUCUGGAGGAAAAGCAUUGCAAUCCCAAGCUCCUGCUGCUGCCGUACAUCUGCAUCUUAUUCAUCUUUGAAGCUCCUGCAAUGCCUCCAACGGGGACACAACUAAAGGAAGCUCUCAGAACGCCCAGCUAUCCCCACUGCAGAAGGCUCUCCCUGAAAGGGCACAGGUGGAGGACGUUUGCAUUUAUCUGGAGACAGUUCAUGGAGAAACACAAAGAGGUGUCCUGACAAGACAACAGGUCCACAGCAGUCGUCAUCAUGAGUGCUCACCAUAUGCCAGGGUUCAUCUUUUAAAAUCCUUAACCAAACAACCAAACUGUGGUUGGGAUUAUUCUCUUUUUAUAGGUGAGAAAACUGAGGCUGAAAGCCAUUGGGUGGUUUGCCAAAGCUGAGAAGUAGCUGAGCUGGGGUUUGUACUCACACCACGGUGACUCGGAGGCCCAAGCCAGUUCUGACACACUGCCUUCCCAUGACAUUCCCACGACAGGUUCCCGAGGUCGUUGGAAUGCUUACACAUUUCAGCAACUUCAUGGCAACUGCCCAGCUCGACCCAGAAGAUAAUACUACCUUGUACUCCCCCUGCCGCUUCCUUCCUCCAGGCAGCUCACAGACAUGACCUCAUUCCCUCUCCCAGAGUCCCAUAGGGGUGAAGGACAGGGUGGGGAUCGUUAACUCUGCUUCCUAGGGAGGAAAGGGAGGCCCAGAGAGGGAUGCUGGCCCACCCUGGGUCAUCCAGCCAGCUAGCGGGAGAGCUGCAACUGGAAAUCAGGCUUCCCUGCCCUCGGGGACAGUUAUUUAGCCUCCUGGAUGUGAGCUAGAAUCACCCCUAAGAUGCAGCAAUUGGGGUACUCCUCUUGGGGUACUGGGACUCAGUGGCUGAAACAGCUCCAAGAGAGUUGGGCCUGUGCUGAAAACAGAAAUCCGAGAUGCAUAUAAAUUCAAUCCGUAUGAGAAGAGCAGGGUGGCCUGGGAGGAGUGGUCACCGCAGUGGCUCCACCUCCUACCCGGCCACCUGCAGCCCUGCCUGGGCUGCUCUUGGUCUCUCUGUGCCCAGCUUCCCUGGCCGGAUGCCCUGGGGGCCAGAGCAGCCGCAGGUGCGAUGAAAAGAACACUGGCCUUGAGGUCAUGGGACCUGGGGAGGAUAUUCACCAGGGGCCCCUAAGUUAGUCAUUUUAGCUCUCAGCUUUUCCAUUUUUCAUUCAAAAAAUGGGGACUCUAACUCCAUGAAAGAGACAUUGUGUGUGAAAUAUUUCAUCAUAAGCUGUGAAGCCUGCAAAGAAACUCCUGGUGUUCUCUGUAGCCUGAUUUCAUCUCUACUAAACGCUAUUUUGAAAAUG